ACAAUACUCCCUCGUCCCGAAUUAGUUGACUCAGAUGUGUCUACAUACGGACAUGACUAACCACGUUUUAGUGUUAGAUACAUCCGUAUCUAGAUGAAUGUAAGUCAAUUAAUUUGGGACGGAGGGAGUAUAAC
Molecule: microRNA precursor, 134 nt
Filed under: Hordeum vulgare
Lineage: Eukaryota; Viridiplantae; Streptophyta; Magnoliopsida; Poales; Poaceae
Description: microRNA MIR1122
Rfam family: MIR1120/MIR1122 microRNA precursor family
Source: RNAcentral